RNAcentral lists this long non-coding RNA (1069 nucleotides) under Homo sapiens (human). RNAcentral describes it as "HSALNT0119360". Lineage: Eukaryota; Metazoa; Chordata; Mammalia; Primates; Hominidae. The record is from RNAcentral.
AAAGCAUUAAAAACCAUGAUAUACUUUUCGCUGUGAAAUUUAAAAGCAAAGAGAUCACAUCGGCUUCUCCAGUCUGAACUAGGUGCCUCGUCUGUUUUUUCUUUUCUCUUUUUUUAAAAAAAUGGGACAGGGAGGGGCUAGGGGAGUGGGAGGGUGAGUGAUGGGGGUGUCACGUGCAAAGAAGCCCUCACUUCAAAGGGACGUCUGGCAGGGAGCAGGUGGGCUGCUCUCCAGGGAAGGUGCAAGGACAGUUGCUGUGCUGAAAUGCACAUGUGGCAGCACAGCAAAUGAGGAGCACUGGAAGAUCAAAAGGAAACCUGAAAAUCACAGGUCACCCUCACUCUGUACCUCUCAACUAGGAUUACCAGGUCAGCCAUUUGAAAGGGAGCACCCGAUCUUUACAAGGUCAAGAGCCACUGACUUUGAGUUGAUUUUCAGCAAACCUUCAGAGGACAAAGGGCAAACCCUCAGCCCGUACAGUUUUGGUGCUGUCAGCAGGAUAACCAAAACUGCUCUGCUCUUCCAGAAGCUGCAGUCAAGGGAACCCAGGACCUGACAAGCUGGCAGAAUAUGCACAGAAUUACCCUCUGCACCACACCACUGCUGCUGGCAAUGAAGGAGGAGAGGCACUGGCGAUCCAAGGCUUUUUUCUACCUCUUCAAUGCCUCUUUCAGUGACAUGAAGUUAAAACCAGAUACUGAAUUUCAUCAAGUAACCAGGAAUGAUUAACCAGCAAAGAAGAGAAGAGACUGGGAGUUAUCUCCACACUCAAAUAAACUUUCCUCUAUUCUUCUGAGGGUAGGUCCAAGAGAUUAUCUGGGUGGUUUUAUCUGCAUAAAAGACCUUUGCUCACAGUGAAGUUCUGUCCCUCACCUGCCUACCACCUCCCCCAGUGCUCAGAGGAACUUCAUUCAAGGCCAUGAUUCUUUGGGUUCAUUCAUUUCCUCUGAAAAUCAGUUACUCCUACAAUCUCCCCUUCCCUGAUGAAGAAGAGUUGGGUUGCUGGGUAAUCAUUCUCCUGUGAUUAUCCUGUGCUAUGCUUAAAUAAAUGGCUUUUUUUCUCCCAUUA